RNAcentral lists this ribosomal RNA (460 nucleotides) under uncultured bacterium. RNAcentral describes it as "partial 16S ribosomal RNA". It matches the Rfam family "Bacterial small subunit ribosomal RNA", at positions 338 to 795 of the family's 1533-position model. The record is from RNAcentral.
CCUACGGGUGACAGCAGUGAGGAAUAUUGGUCAAUGGACGAGAGUCUGAACCAGCCAAGUAGCGUGAAGGAUGACUGCCCUAUGGGUUGUAAACUUCUUUUAUAUGGGAAUAAAAUGUUCCACGUGUGGGAUUUUGUAUGUAACAUAUGAAUAAGGAUCGGCUAAAUCCGUGCCAGCAGCCGCGGUAAUACGGAGGAUCCGAGCGUUAUCCGGAUUUAUUGGGUUUAAAGGGAGCGUAGGUGGAUUGUUAAGUCAGUUGUGAAAGUCUGCGGCUCAACCGUAAAAUUGCAGUUGAAACUGGCAGUCUUGAGUACAGUAGAGGUAGGCGGAAUUUGUGGUGUAGCGGUGAAAUGCUUAGAUAUCACGAAGAACUCCGAUUGCGAAGGCAGUUCACUGGACUGCUACUGACGCUGAGGCUCGAAAGUGUGGGUAUCAAACAGGAUUAGAUACCCCUGUAGUC